Molecule: long non-coding RNA, 1997 nt
Organism: Anguilla rostrata (American eel)
Lineage: Eukaryota; Metazoa; Chordata; Actinopteri; Anguilliformes; Anguillidae
Exons: 3
Source: RefSeq, a predicted model, not a curated record
AUGUGCACAUUGCGUGGGUGAUUGAUGAGUGUUAUUUUUUAUUUCAAAUGUUUUCCCCAAAGAUGGUAUUUCUCGGCAUAAUUGUGCCGCCGCUAAAUAUUUCUACUCCUGCGGUUCAGGCACUCUACGCGAUAAGAAGAGAUUUUAGGACAGCGCCUCCUAUACUGCUUGUGUCGAAAAUGCUGCGACGGAAACAGGGAUUGAUUUGCUUAGCAGUCGGGAUCUGAGCAGAAUGUAAACAAGAAGACAUUCACGGCAGUUGGGCGUGGCAGGUGCAGACCAUUGCUGGGUUACACAUUGCCUCCGGUGGCUUCAGUGAAGGAUGCCAGGAGGCCAGAAGACACAGACCCCCUGUUUCCAUCCCAGCAUGUCCAUGCAUGGAGAACAUAUUUCCUUAGCAGCCGGUACUUUACAGAGAUCGAUCUUGGAGUGACAGAUGCCAGUAUCAUUUGAAUGGACACGAUGCCAAAAUGAAGAAACACUGCACCUGUCCUUUGUCUGUGACCUAGAGCCGUGUCACUUUGAACACUUGAAGGUUGCCAUCAGCUUGGGUCAAGCGCUGAUCACACUCCACAAAUAGCAAAGAAGCAGCACAGCAGUGUCCUUUGCGUGCAGAGCAGAAGAACUUCACCAUAAUGGAACCCGGGUUCCAAAACACUUCUUAUAGUGCAUCAUUCAUUUCUCAGACUGUGGAGAUGUUUGCACAGUUCUUCAGACUUUUAGUUUUUAUUAUAUGUGCACAUUUUUUAUUCCUGUGCAGUCAUCCUCAUCAAUAUUUCUCUCUGGAUUUGGAAUGAAAAAUAUUCUCAUGUGCCAUCUCUGUUCAUCCUUGUAGUUACAUUUUAUCAUUUUAAGCGUAUUUUCUCAUGCUCAGUGUAACGUUGAAUUUGCCAGGUUUUAACUGUUGCUUAUCUGUGUGUGUGUGUGUGUGUGUUCUCCUCUCCCUUUAUGGUGAUAAUCAUCAUCUAUCUCUCACACACACACACACACACACACACACACACACGCUGACAUGACUGAGGCGAACCUGCAUACUCACGCCCGCUCUCCACUUAACCAUAAUUGACCUCUGAAUAUCCAAUCAAUCACAAGUGGAAUUCCACACCCAAAUACUCUACAUAGCCAACACACACAUACACACACAAGCCCACAUGCAAAACUCUGUGACACACACAUGCACAGACACACACAUGCAUACCCACACCCUCGCACACAGACACACACAGAGCCGUCUCCACCCUAAUCCAUACAGUAAAUGGAUUGUAAAUGGAAUCUCCUUCAUCUCAGAGCCAUGCUACGGUGUCUCCUUACAUUGUGGUAGGUCCCAUUACCCAUAAUCCCCUUGGGCUUCAGCACAGUCCAAUAAUGGCUAGAUUAGCAAACACUAUGUUUUUUGCCCACCUUUUAUUAUUUUUUAAAAUAUUCCUUGCAGAUGAUUCCCACUUGGCAGAACUCUCCAUUUCCUGCCUGCCUCUAGGUUGAUGACAAACCAUAUCAAAGAGCAGCCGGCUUAGUGAGCCACAAAGCGAUUGGACGGAUCGCCAGCUGGCAUUAGGGCAAGCCGCCUGACAUUCAAUAGAUGGAUUUAGCUUCCUUUGUGUCCCUCCCUCCCUUUUGUCUGUUUGGUGUCACCAUUUCAAUACAAUAAAGUGCGGAGUGGCUUUCAUCAUAACAAGGUAUUGAUCCCCUUCUUCCCCGCUCACCCACUUGCCAUUUUGAGAAUUGUUAGGGUAAUUGCUGUCGUACAAAAGUUACUGAAGUGAUAAAAAGGCUUUUGGGACAGGUUGUCCUUUGAUAUGGAUGAUAGACCUGUGCUUUAUAGUUGUUGGUGCGCUGUAAAAUACAGUACCUCAGAGAUCUUUACAGGAAAACAAAAAUUGGUAGUGUUGGUGUUGGGUAGAACAGGUGAGCCUUCUCUGUGUGCUGUCAAAUUUCAAGUCUCUGUUGAAUGCCCCCACCCCUCCUGCACCUCCCCCCUCUCCCCCCUCCCCAAAGUC